UCCAGGAAGGCAGCAGGCGCGCAAAUUACCCAAUCCUAAUUCAGGGAGGUAGUGACAAUAUAUAACGAUACAGGGCCCUUUUGGGUCUUGUAAUUGAAAUGAGUACAAUGUAAAUACCUUAACGAGGAACAAUUGGAGGGCAAGUCUGGUGCCAGCAGCCGCGGUAAUUCCAGCUCCAAUAGCGUAUAUUAAAGUUGUUGCAGUUAAAAAGCUCGUAGUUGAACCUUGGGCCUGGUUAGCCGGUCUGCUUUUUUGCAUGUACUGGAUUUAACCGGGUCUUUCCUUCUGGCUAACCUUUUGGUGAACCAGGACUUUUACUUUGAAAAAAUUAGAGUGUUCAAAGCAGGCCUUUGCUCGAAUAUAUUAGCAUGGAAUAAUAGAAUAGGACGUUAUGGUUCUAUUUUGUUGGUUUCUAGGACCAUCGUAAUGAUUAAUAGGGACGGUCGGGGGCAUCAGUAUUCAAUUGUCAGAGGUGAAAUUCUUGGAUUUAUUGAAGACUAACUACUGCGAAAGCAUUUGCCAAGGACGUUUUCAUUAAUCAAGAACGAAAGUUAGGGGAUCGAAGAUGAUCAGAUACCGUCGUAGUCUUAACCAUAAACUAUGCCGACUAGGGAUCGGGUGGUGUUCUUUUUUGACCCACUCGGCACCUUACGAGAAAUCAAAGUCUUUGGGUUCUGGGGGG
This 682-nucleotide ribosomal RNA is filed under the name uncultured fungus. Its description in RNAcentral is "SSU rRNA". It matches the Rfam family "Eukaryotic small subunit ribosomal RNA", at positions 415 to 1121 of the family's 1831-position model. The record is from RNAcentral. Lineage: Eukaryota; Fungi.